AUUGAACGCUGGCGGCAGGCCUAACACAUGCAAGUCGAGCGGAGCGGCGGACGGGUGAGUAAUGCCUAGGAAUCUGCCUGGUAGUGGGGGAUAACGUCCGGAAACGGGCGCUAAUACCGCAUACUCUCAGAUGAGCCUAGGUCGGAUUAGCUAGUUGGUGGGGUAAAGGCCUACCAAGGCGACGAUCCGUAACUGGUCUGAGAGGAUGAUCAGUCACACUGGAACGGAGACAGGGCCCAGCUUCCUACUGGAGGCAGCAGUGGGGAAUAUUGGACAAGGGGCGAAAGCCUGUUCCAGCAAGGCCGCGUGUGUGAAGAAGGUCUUCGGAUUGUAAAGCACUUUAAGUUGGGAGGCGUUACCAACAGAAUAAGCACCGGCUAACUUCGUGCCAGCAGCCGCGUAAUUC
This 406-nucleotide ribosomal RNA is filed under the name uncultured bacterium. RNAcentral describes it as "partial 16S ribosomal RNA". It matches the Rfam family "Bacterial small subunit ribosomal RNA", at positions 30 to 526 of the family's 1533-position model. The record is from RNAcentral.